RNAcentral lists this non-coding RNA (83 nucleotides) under uncultured Sedimentibacter sp. RNAcentral describes it as "Cyclic di-GMP-I riboswitch". It matches the Rfam family "c-di-GMP-I riboswitch aptamer". Rfam says of the family: GEMM was predicted in a large-scale screen for bacterial structured RNA regulatory elements. The record is from RNAcentral. Lineage: Bacteria; Bacillati; Bacillota; Tissierellia.
AUUAAAUAGGCAAAAUUUUCUAAAGAAAAUGACGCAAAGCUAUAGGGUCUAAACCAUUGAAAUGGUAUGACAGCCAGUUGCUG